UACUGUAGCAUCGGGUUACUGUACACCAAUCCAGACGAUUCUCAGGUGGUUCGACGCCGGUGAACAGCUAUGGCCUCUGAUA
RNAcentral lists this unclassified non-coding RNA (82 nucleotides) under Caenorhabditis briggsae. RNAcentral's name for it is "Cb234.2 C/D snoRNA". It matches the Rfam family "Nematode snoRNA ceN47", at positions 69 to 155 of the family's 155-position model. Lineage: Eukaryota; Metazoa; Nematoda; Chromadorea; Rhabditida; Rhabditidae. The record is from RNAcentral.